RNAcentral lists this ribosomal RNA (167 nucleotides) under Thermoanaerobacterium sp. W1-7_661-4. RNAcentral describes it as "partial 16S rRNA". It matches the Rfam family "Bacterial small subunit ribosomal RNA", at positions 338 to 524 of the family's 1533-position model. Lineage: Bacteria; Bacillati; Bacillota; Clostridia; Thermoanaerobacterales; Thermoanaerobacteraceae. The record is from RNAcentral.
CCUACGGGAGGCAGCAGUGGGGAAUAUUGUGCAAUGGGGGAAACCCUGACACAGCGACGCCGCGUGAGCGAAGAAGGCCUUCGGGUCGUAAAGCUCAAUAGUAUGGGAAGAUAAUGACGGUACCAUACGAAAGCCCCGGCUAACUACGUGCCAGCAGCCGCGGUAAU